GACAGAGGGUGCAAACGUUGUUCGGAAUUACUGGGCGUAAAGCGCGUGUAGGCGGUCCGACAAGUCGGGUGUGAAAGCCCUGGGCUCAACCCAGGAAGUGCACUCGAAACUGCCGGGCUAGAGUAUCGGAGAGGUUGGUGGAAUUCUCGGUGUAGAGGUGAAAUUCGUAGAUAUCGAGAGGAACACCGGUGGCGAAGGCGGCCAACUGGACGAAUACUGACGCUGAGACUCGAAAGCGUGGGGAGCAAACAGG
Molecule: ribosomal RNA, 253 nt
Filed under: uncultured bacterium
Lineage: Bacteria
Description: partial 16S ribosomal RNA
Rfam family: Bacterial small subunit ribosomal RNA
Source: RNAcentral